Angiostrongylus cantonensis (rat lungworm) is the source of this 45-nucleotide non-coding RNA. The record is from Rfam. Lineage: Eukaryota; Metazoa; Nematoda; Chromadorea; Rhabditida; Metastrongylidae.
CCAACGGCCCUCUUUAGGGCCACAAGUGGCAGAAUGCGAAUACGU